GGGAAUCCGGUGAGAGUCCGGAACGGUCGCGCCACUGUGAACGCUGCCCAUAUCGACACCGUAGAUAUGUCGACGCGGUCGACGUGUCGACAUAUCGACGCGGUCGAUGGUGACGGGGUGACGUGAGUCAGGAUGCC
RNAcentral lists this non-coding RNA (137 nucleotides) under Gordonia terrae. The record is from RNAcentral. Lineage: Bacteria; Bacillati; Actinomycetota; Actinomycetes; Mycobacteriales; Gordoniaceae.